UACGUAGGGGGCAAGCGUUGUCCGGAUUUAUUGGGCGUAAAGAGCGUGUAGGCGGCCAGGUAGGUCAGCUGUGAAAACUCGAAGCUCAACCUCGAGACGCCGGUUGAAACCAUCUGGCUAGAGUCCGGAAGAGGAGAGUGGAAUUCCUGGUGUAGCGGUGAAAUGCGCAGAUAUCAGGAAGAACACCCGUGGCUAAGGCGGCUCUCUAGUACGGUACUGACGCUGAGACGCGAAAGCGUGGGGAGCGAACAGG
RNAcentral lists this ribosomal RNA (253 nucleotides) under uncultured bacterium. RNAcentral's name for it is "partial 16S ribosomal RNA". It matches the Rfam family "Bacterial small subunit ribosomal RNA", at positions 524 to 776 of the family's 1533-position model. The record is from RNAcentral.